UACAGAGGUCUCAAGCGUUGUUCGGAUUCAUUGGGCGUAAAGGGUGCGUAGGUGGCGAGGUAAGUCGGAUGUGAAAUCCCGGGGCUUAACCCCGGAACUGCAUUCGAUACUGCCUUGCUGGAGUACUGGAGAGGAGACUGGAAUUCACGGUGUAGCAGUGAAAUGCGUAGAUAUCGUAAGGAAGACCAGUGGCGAAGGCGAGUCUCUGGACAGUUACUGACACUGAGGCACGAAGGCCAGGGGAGCAAAC
Molecule: ribosomal RNA, 250 nt
Filed under: uncultured Spartobacteria bacterium
Lineage: Bacteria; Pseudomonadati; Verrucomicrobiota; Spartobacteria
Description: partial 16S ribosomal RNA
Rfam family: Bacterial small subunit ribosomal RNA
Source: RNAcentral